This 1185-nucleotide ribosomal RNA is filed under the name Triticum aestivum (bread wheat). RNAcentral describes it as "partial small subunit ribosomal RNA". The record is from RNAcentral. Lineage: Eukaryota; Viridiplantae; Streptophyta; Magnoliopsida; Poales; Poaceae.
GACGCGCUUCUCGACUUCAGGGACGGCCUCUACGACCCAAGCAACCUCCUAUCGUCAUGGCGAGGUGUGGAAUGCUGCCGGUGGGCUGGCGUCGUUUGCAGCAACCGGACCGGCCACGUUGUCAAGCUGCGAAUCAGCAGCAUAUACAUCUCGGACACGUACAGCCUUGGAGGUGAGAUACGCUCCUCCUUGCUAACUUUACGACAUCUGAAGCAGCUGGAACUCUCAUACAACAACUUCGGAGGCCAACCCAUCCCGGAGUUCAUCAGCGCCCUCGGGAGGCUGACACAUCUCGACCUCUCUUCGUCCAAUUUCGGUGGUCAGAUUCCUCGCCACCUCGGGAACCUCUCGAACCUGGUCAGCCUUGAUCUCAGCAGAAUGCCGCAAAAUGCUUACUCACCUGAUCUCACCUGGGUUUCGUCCCUCACGAAGCUGCAGGUCCUCAUCAUAACUGAGGUGGACCUCAGCGCCGCUGUCCACUGGACUCAUGCUAUUAACAUGCUCCCCAGUUUGAUAAACCUUGAUUUAAGUUCUUGUAGGCUUCACAACACCAUGCCUCCCCCGUCACAUUCCAAUCUCACAUCUCUGGAGACCCUCACCCUUUCUGGAAACUCCUUCAACGCAUCUCUUGGAGCCAAAAAUUUGGUUUGGGAUCUGCCUAGCCUCCAAGCGCUCUUCCUAGAUGACUGUGGAAUUGAUGGUCCAAUCCCUGACGCGGUGGGGAACUUGACCUCCAUUCAACACUUGUUACUUUAUUCGAACAAGUUCACUGGCACCAUGCCAUUGACCUUCAAGAAACUGAAGACACUACAACAACUCUUUUUGCAAGACAACUUCAUCAACAUGGAUGUGGCAGAGCUACUGCACCGGUUGCCAUCAGAUGCACUGCAGGAGCUGGUUAUGGACAACAACAAUUUGAAAGGGAGCUUACCAGCUCGUCUAAGGCACUUUAACAGGUUGAACACGCUCUUCCUCGACUCAAACGAGCUUUCUGGAGAGAUACCAGUUGGUAUACGGGAGCUCAAAAGUUUGAGUAGAUUAUCGCUAAGCUCGAACAACCUGCACGGUACAAUCACAGAGGGCCAUUUCACAAAUCUAACCACCUUAGAAUUCCUACUUAUCUCUGAAAAUUCCUUAACCGUGAAGGACAAAUUCCUCAAGAAAUUGGAAAGCUCGUUGCAUUAA